Microcebus murinus (gray mouse lemur) is the source of this 962-nucleotide non-coding RNA. The record is from RefSeq and is a predicted model, not a curated record. NCBI's taxonomy places the organism in Eukaryota, Metazoa, Chordata, Mammalia, Primates, Cheirogaleidae.
CAAAGUGGCAGCUGAGCAAAGAUUCAGAGGAAGACACUGAAAGAAGGCACAGGGAGGAAUCUCCUGGAAGCCUUGGUUGUUGACACUCACAUUCCUGGAGUUCUUGGUGUCCUCCUGUCGGGGCUGAUGAUCCGUCUUCUGCUCUCUCAAGCUGAGCAUGCCAGAGGAAGAUGACAGAUGUCUCCUUUUCCUCACUGAGGCCGUCCUGGCGUCACCUCUCUGUGUCCUAACCCAGUGAACAGCUGUCAUUUUUGCCUGCUCUGCAUCUGUUCUCAUCCUGGGAAUAAGAAUGCCUAAUUUCCCUUUGUGAAACUGACCUGCCCUGGGCGGCCUCUUAUGCCAUGCAGACACUCCCUCCUGGAAAUCGGACUCUCAGAAGCAGAGUGGCAACCAGUGGCCAAAGAAACAUGACAGAUAUGUGCAAGCUCUGAAUUAAAAUGAUUAGUGUGACCUAUGUAAGCUUCAUGAAGCAGAUGGCAUUUGGACAACAGGCAGGAAGUGGUGCUGCAGUUCUGUUCUCCAGGCCCGAAGGUGGGGAAGAUUAUUCAUCCAGAUCGUUAACCCUGAGGCAGCCACCCCGGCACCAGCCAGCCAGCUUCCUGGAAGCCGAUAAAUGUCCCUCCCCGCAGAUGCCCCUGCCUGCCUCAACCCAGAAGUAGACGUGUUUGCUUUCGUCACGCAGAAAUGCUCUUGCCUCUCGCCUCUCGCGGCUUAAUUAGCUCUAACCCGGGCGGAGGCCGUCCUUGGACGGCUUCCCGCAGCUGCCCUCUGCUGGUCGGCAGCCGCAUCGGCGGCUGGAGCCUGGGGACCCAGAAGCCGUGGUCGCCGCCUUCAAGACGGUGGGCCAGGGGGCCUGUGUUCGCAGGAGCCACUGGAGCUAACUACGACAGAAGACCUAUUACCAGUCCUGGCACACCGAGCAGCCCCAACCUCUCCUUCCUUGAAUAAACACAUACAAAAUA